GACCUUGGCGCUGCAGAGCGGAGGGGUUUCUGGCGGUCGCUUGCACUAUUGCUUUGGAUAGAACCAAUCUCUCCUCCGUAGCAGCCCGUAGUGACUUCGAAGUCCUACGUUACCCAAUGAUAUAGCUUGUAAGGGGUGAUUGGUUCAUUAUAUCCCUUCGGAUUUGUUUCUGAUUUGAUUGCCCGAACCUGCGCUUGCAUUCGUUGCAAUAGUUAUGCUUUAUUGAUUGGCCACUCAUUCGGCUGGACUGUUUUCCCCCUCGACAACUCGACUCUGUUGCAUAAGCGCAGGUGUGCAAGAAUGCGGGGCAUCAUGAGGUGGUAACAAAUUAAAGACGCGAUGGAAUCUGUAAAUUUUGAAGAUCAAGAACAUCAACACUUGGAAAGCAGAAAGAAGAAAGAAUAAGGAAAAAGAAAAAGGAUCAACGAAGACUCGCUGGUUUCAAUGAUUUUCUUGAACUAGUAAUUAGCGUUAUCGAAUACUCAAUUCAAUAACGUCCUCCCCUCUUCAGCAAUCACAAGUCCCUCUCUCCUCGCCGCCGCUACCAAAGUUUCUGAGCCAAAGUUUCACAACCAUGACUGGCUAUAGAUUGGGUGUUGACGUCGGCGGCACUUUCACCGACGUUUGUGUCUUCACUCCCAACGGGGAGACCGUCCGAGCAAAAGUUCCGUCCACGGUUCAUGACCAAAGCAUUGGAGUCAAAGAUGGUAUCGCCAAGGUUCGGGAGAUACUGCAAAGUAGAUCUGGCUGGGACGGGAAAUUUGACUUUAUCCAUCACGGAACCACAACUGCGACAAAUGCGGUUCUCGAGGGGAAAGGCGCCAAACACUCGGCUCUGAUUGUCACUGCAGGCCAUAAGGAUAUUCUUGCCCUCAGACGAUCUCAUAUUCCCGGUGCCUUGGGUGCUUGGAUCAAUUUCGUGCCCCCUGAACCAGUGGUGCCGCUGGAAAGAACUGUGCAAUGUUCCGAACGUGUGUCUGCAACGGGCGAAUUAAUCCAGGAAGUCGACGCACGCAAGUUGCGACUAGAUUUGGCAGAGCUGAAGCACCAGGUCCCGGAAUCAGUUACCAUCAGCUUGAUAAAUUCUUAUGCGAACAGGAUUAAUGAAGACGCUGUACGUGGCAUCGUCAGGGAGGAGCUCGGCCCUGAAGUCGAAAUCGUUUGCUCUACUGAUGUCCUUCCAGAGACCGGAGAGUACGAAAGGACGGUCACAGCAGCCGCAAAUGCGAUGGUGAAACCCAUCGUCAAGAGAUACCUUUCGGGCCUCCAAAACCUUUUGAAGGACGACAGCUCCAUAAUCCGUGUGUUGAAGAGCGAUGGUGCGAUGACGUCACUGGAAUUAGCAGGGGACGUUCCAGUUAACUGCCUUAUGUCUGGACCGGCUGGUGGCGUUCGUGGAAUCGCCGACGUUGUAGCCAAAAACACACCUUACAAAAACUUAAUCACUCUCGAUAUUGGCGGCACCUCCACGGAUGUUGCCAUUAUCGUAGAUGGAUCCCCC
RNAcentral lists this small RNA (1501 nucleotides) under Histoplasma capsulatum. RNAcentral describes it as "hypothetical RNA". The record is from RNAcentral. RNAcentral also lists the same sequence under 1 other name. Lineage: Eukaryota; Fungi; Ascomycota; Eurotiomycetes; Onygenales; Ajellomycetaceae.